RNAcentral lists this unclassified non-coding RNA (282 nucleotides) under fungal sp. Its description in RNAcentral is "partial internal transcribed spacer region". The stretch from base 1 to 46 matches the Rfam family "Eukaryotic small subunit ribosomal RNA", at positions 1786 to 1831 of the family's 1831-position model. The record is from RNAcentral. Lineage: Eukaryota; Fungi.
AAGUCGUAACAAGGUUUCCGUAGGUGAACCUGCGGAAGGAUCAUCAGUGAUUGUUAGGUUGUUAGCUCGCAAGGGCUAAUAGCCACCAAACUCACAACGGCCGAUAAUUGAUUAUUAGGAGAGGAGAGUGGUGAGGCUGGGACUAGGCAGGCUUUUUUUUUUAGGUCUGGUUAGUCAUUAGUUCACCGCUCCUCCCUAUUACAAACAACACCCUUUAAUAAACAGUCAAAAACAAGAAAAUCCAAAAAAAUACAACUUUCAACAAUGGAUCUCUUGGCUCUU